ACUUGAUCCCGCGGUAGCAGCAGAGACAGCAAGCAGUCACGGGGGCCUAUAAGGUGCCUAAAACUGAAGGAGGGAAACCGUUAUGUCUGAUCAGGAGAGCUGUCUCCCAAGAGGAUGUGGUGAACCCCCAUUCCUAUUUUUCUCUCUCUUCCCUCCUGCUGCUUGGUCCCGGAUAUGGGUGCAGUUGUGGGAAGUACUGAAAGCCCCAUCUUUCUGGGGUCAGAGGCUAAAAGGUGAACCCCAGGGAAGAAAGAGUCAUGGGGAAAAUUUUGGAGAGAGCAUAGCUUGGGAAAACAACCCCAUAAGAUUAUUUAUAAAUUCCUAGGCUUACUCCCUAACUGUAAAGGAAUGAAUCUAACUCUAACUAAUAUACCAAAGAUUUUGAAAACUGAAUUGUGGGAUAGAACACUGUCCAGGUCCCAGAGUGGCCACCGAGUGGCACAUACAUGAGACAGAUCUGAAUAGCACUGCAGAGGCUUUGAAACUGAGCUGAAAUUGGAGCUACAACCCACAGAAGGCUGGUUGGGAUAUGCAGCCUGAACCCAAACAAGUUGAUUGCCUGUUAAAAAUAUCUACAUUGCCCAUAGGAUUUAACAUAGCCCAGAGUCUCCCAAAACAUCCAAGAUAAAAUCUAAAAUCACUCGGCAUAUACCAAGAACCCGAAAAACCUCAAAUUUCAUGGAAAAAGACAAACAACAGACUCCAAUGCCAUGAUGAUAAGUGUUGGAAUUAUCAAAGACUUUAAAGCAACUAUUAUUAAAAGGUUUCAAGAGGUAAGGAGAACACUCUGGAAAUGAGUGGAAAGACAGAAAGUCUCCACAGAGAAAUAGAAUAUAUAAAGAGGAAUCAAGUGGAAACUUUGACCUGAAAAAUAACCAAAAGAAAAAAUGCACACUAUGGGCUCAAAAGGAAAAUGAAAAUAAUAGUGUAAGUAGUGAACUUAUUGGUAGAUUCAUAAAAAUUAUCCAAUCCAAACAAUAAGGAAAAAAAUUAAGAAAAAAUAAUGAACAUAGAUAGCCUUUGGAAGCUGUAAGAAAAUACUAAAGGUUUAACAUUUGUCAUUGGAGUUCCAGAAGGAGAUGAGAAAGGGUCUGUUAUAGAAAAAUAUUUGAGGAAAUAAUGGCUAAAAAGUCCCAAAUUUGGCCAAAGACAUGAACUUACAGAUUUAAGAAGCUCAACGGAUCUUAAAUAGUAUAAACCCAAAGAAAUCUAUGCCCAGACACAUCACAAUUAAACUGCUAAAAACUAAAUACAAAGAAAAAAAUCUUGAGAGUAGCCAGAGAAAAGAUCACAUUACUUCUAGGAGAAUAGCAAUUUGAAUGUCAGCAAAUUCUCUUCAGAAAGUGCAGAAGCUGGAAGGAUGCGAAACAACAUUUUUUAAAGCACUGGAAGAAAAAACUGUUAACGCAAUCCUUUACUAAUGAGGGUAAAAUAAAGGCAUUACUAGACAAAGGAAAAGUAAGAGAAUUUACUGCCGGAAGACUUUUUUAUGACCUCAUUUUGUUAGAGUAGUUUUAGGUUUACAAUAAAAUUGAAAGGAAGGUAUAGAGAUUUUCCAUUUACCCCCCCUACCCCCACACAUGCAUAGCCUCCUUCACUCUCAACAUCACUCACAAAUUGGUACGUUUUUUUACCAAGGAUGAACCUACAUUAAUACACUGUAAUCAAGUCCAUAGUUAGUAUGUAAGGGUUCAUUUUUAAUGUUGUAUGUUCAGUGGGUUUGGAUUAAUGAAUUAUGAUAUAUGUCCAUUAUUAUAAUAUCACAUAGAGCAUUUUCACUGCCCUAAAAACCUUGUGUGUCUCUACUCACCUACCCCCUGAAAAUACCGAUCUUGGAGUUCCCAUCAUAUAGGAAUUCCCGUUAUGGCUCAGUGGUUAACGAACCUGACUAGUAUCCAUGAGGACGCGGGUUCGGUCCCCAACCUCGCUCACUGGGCUAAGGAUCUGGUGUCGCCUCGAGCUGCGAUGUAGGUGGCAGACGCAACUCAGAUUUGGUGUUGCUGUGGCUGUGGUGUAGGCCAGCGGCUACAGCUCCAAUCCGACCCCUAGCCUGGGAACCUCCAUACGCCGUGGGUGCGGCCCUAAAAAGACACACACACACACAAAAAAAAAAAAAAAAAAAAAAAAAGAAAGAAAGAAAGAAAAAGGAAAAAGAAAAACAAAUAUAGCCAGCCAGAAAAACAGAAGCAGGCCACUGUACAUAAGACUAGUGCUUUCCUCUCCUGCUGUCACCAAACAUCCUCCUCCUAGGAUGGAAAAACUGGGAUAGCAUUGUACAGAAGGCUGGGCUGUGGGCGGGAGAAUCCCAAGACAGGAGGUGAACCUUCCAAUUAGCAGGGGGAUGUUUAUGCAGGCACGAGGAGAUGUGGCAGCACGUAAUGCGGGAGUCCUCUAGCAUGUACAGUAUGAAGUAAAGGGUCAUGCGAAAGAGCAUCAAAGUGUAUAGUUUGCUCUAAUUUGAAAUCGGGGCAUGGACAAACCGACCUUUUCCUUUUUAACCAUCUACUGGUAUGUUGGGAGAUAAACAACAUCUAAAACUCUGGAGCUUUUAAUGGCUUCAUUGGAGGAAACAACUGUGCUUAGUUUUAGUGACCAGAGAUGAACUUGAAAUAGUUUCUAAGUAAAAAGUUGAUUUUUUGUUUUCAAUUUAAUCUUUCCUGAAUUGUUCGUUUUGGAUUUUAAGCCGUGCUGCUAUUGUGAUUUUUAAAGAUGUUAUUUUGGGUGAUGUUUGACCAUCUAAGGAAAUUAGUGC
Molecule: long non-coding RNA, 2752 nt
Filed under: Sus scrofa (pig)
Lineage: Eukaryota; Metazoa; Chordata; Mammalia; Artiodactyla; Suidae
Description: lncRNA (ENSSSCG00025073314.1)
Source: RNAcentral